Molecule: ribosomal RNA, 253 nt
Filed under: uncultured bacterium
Lineage: Bacteria
Description: partial 16S ribosomal RNA
Rfam family: Bacterial small subunit ribosomal RNA
Source: RNAcentral
UACGUAGGGUGCAAGCGUUAAUCGGAAUUACUGGGCGUAAAGCGUGCGCAGGCGGCGCGUUAAGACAGGUGUGAAAGCCCCGAGCUUAACUUGGGAACUGCGCUUGUGACUGGCGUGCUGGAGUGUGGCAGAGGGAGGUGGAAUUCCACGUGUAGCAGUGAAAUGCGUAGAUAUGCGGAGGAACACCGAUGGCGAAGGCAAUCCCCUGGGCCUGCACUGACGCUCAUGCACGAAAGCGUGGGGAGCAAACAGG